UAUCUCAGUCCGGAUUGAAGUCUGCAAUUCGACUUCAUGAAGCUGGAAUCGCUAGUAAUCGCGGAUCAGCAUGCCGCGGUGAAUACGUUCCCGGGCCUUGUACACACCGCCCGUCAAGCCAUGAAAGGUGGCAGUACCCGAAGUCGCUUCUCUAACCGCAAGGAAGAGUGCGCCGAAGGUAAGGUCAUUGAUUGGGGCUAAGUCGUAACAAGGUAGCUGUAUCGGAAGGUGCGGCUGGAUCACCUCCUUUCUGGAG
RNAcentral lists this ribosomal RNA (256 nucleotides) under Fibrobacter sp. Its description in RNAcentral is "partial 16S ribosomal RNA". It matches the Rfam family "Bacterial small subunit ribosomal RNA", at positions 1284 to 1533 of the family's 1533-position model. The record is from RNAcentral. Lineage: Bacteria; Pseudomonadati; Fibrobacterota; Fibrobacteria; Fibrobacterales; Fibrobacteraceae.